RNAcentral lists this ribosomal RNA (569 nucleotides) under uncultured bacterium. Its description in RNAcentral is "partial 16S ribosomal RNA". It matches the Rfam family "Bacterial small subunit ribosomal RNA", at positions 355 to 918 of the family's 1533-position model. The record is from RNAcentral.
UGGGGAAUUUUGGACAAUGGGCGAAAGCCUGAUCCAGCAAUGCCGCGUGUGUGAAGAAGGCCUUCGGGUUGUAAAGCACUUUUGUCCGGAAAGAAAUCCUUGGCUCUAAUACAGUCGGGGGAUGACGGUACCGGAAGAAUAAGCACCGGCUAACUACGUGCCAGCAGCCGCGGUAAUACGUAGGGUGCAAGCGUUAAUCGGAAUUACUGGGCGUAAAGCGUGCGCAGGCGGUUUGCUAAGACCGAUGUGAAAUCCCCGGGCUCAACCUGGGAACUGCAUUGGUGACUGGCAGGCUAGAGUAUGGCAGAGGGGGGUAGAAUUCCACGUGUAGCAGUGAAAUGCGUAGAGAUGUGGAGGAAUACCGAUGGCGAAGGCAGCCCCUGGGCCAAUACUGACGCUCAUGCACGAAAGCGUGGGGAGCAAACAGGAUUAGAUACCCUGGUAGUCCACGCCCUAAACGAUGUCAACUAGUUGUUGGGGAUUCAUUUCCUUAGUAACGUAGCUAACGCGUGAAGUUGACCGCCUGGGGAGUACGGUCGCAAGAUUAAAACUCAAAGGAAUUGACGGGG